UAAUACGGAGGGCGCAAGCGUUGUUCGGAAUCACUGGGCAUAAAGAGCACGUAGGCUGUUCAAUCAGUCGGAUGUGAAAUCCCCCGGCUCAACCGGGGAAAUGCAUUCGAUACUAUUGAGCUAGAGGACAGGAGGGGUGAGUGGAACUCCAGGUGGAAUGGUGAAAUGUGUAGAUAUCUGGAGGAACACCGGUGGCGAAAGCGGCUCACUGGCCUGUCUCUGACGCUGAGGUGCGAAAGCUAGGGUAGCGAACGGGAUUAGAUACCCCGGUAGUCCUAGCCGUAAACGAUGGGCACUAGGCAAUGGGUUUUCCCUAUGGGACUCAUUGCCGUAGCAAAUGUGUUAAGUGCCCCGCCUGGGGAGUACGCUCGCAAGGGUA
This 379-nucleotide ribosomal RNA is filed under the name uncultured Planctomycetota bacterium. RNAcentral describes it as "bacterial SSU rRNA". It matches the Rfam family "Bacterial small subunit ribosomal RNA", at positions 521 to 896 of the family's 1533-position model. The record is from RNAcentral. Lineage: Bacteria; Pseudomonadati; Planctomycetota.